Molecule: long non-coding RNA, 977 nt
Filed under: Gossypium barbadense (sea-island cotton)
Lineage: Eukaryota; Viridiplantae; Streptophyta; Magnoliopsida; Malvales; Malvaceae
Description: long non-coding RNA (GBAR_LNC002817)
Source: RNAcentral
AAAAAUGCUUCUUUUCUCUCUGUGCAGGUUCUCCUGGUCCCGUCUAGGCUCCGGCGAACAGCCACCGUCCUCCGCCGCGGGCACCGUCGCCGGCCAUCGCGAGAAAAAGGUGUAUUUUUUAUUUUCCUCUUUAUUUUAAUAAUAUAUAUAUGCACAACCAUGUAAUCAGGAAAAGAAAAGUAAACAAGAAAAAAAAGAAAGAAGAACCGAUUCGAAACUUAGAAAAUUUUAAACACCUUUCGAUCUCUGGUUUUGAUUUCUUCCUUGGGCUUCGUUUUUUCUGCUUUUGAUGUUGAUGAAAUCUCUGUUACUUGUUUUGUGUUCUUUAAGAUCUAAUAAUGUUUUUCAUUUCAAGAAGAACCGAUUGUAAAAAUGGUCCUUGAUUUGGCUUUUAAAUAGCCAUUUACAUGCCCCUUUUUUAAUAUCUGUCUAUUCUCCUUUUUUUAAUGUUGCAGGCGCAAGUGGGGCGGUGGCAAGUGGCAGUGCUUGCAGACGUCGGUGGUGGAUGGGAUGGGGAGCAGGUGCUGAACGGCUAGGGUUUCCUUAGCUUUUUUCUUUUGUUGUGUGUGUGGGCAUGGGUAGGUUUGGGUCUUUGGGGUGAUUUGGGUAGGUUAUUUGUUUGGGGUGUAGUGGGUAUUUAGUGGGCUUGGGUUUGGGUCUGGGUUUAGUAGAUUUUGGGGUUAUUAGCUUAGUGGGUUUAGGGGUUUUGAGCCCAAAAUUGGGCUUGUACAGUUUUUUUUCUAAGGAGAUAAAUUAUGGUAUGCAGUUUAAUUUUGGUUUUUUUUUAAAUAUUGGUAAUUUAAUUAAGGAUAUGAAGUUUGAGGUGGGUAGUUAUAGAGUAAUCUGUGUCAGAACAAUUUUUUUUCCACCACCUUGACGUAAUUAAUUAUCUAUGUAUAUAAUAUUGGAAGUUGGUUAGUUAAUAAAAUUGUGUCUAAAUUGGAUUGGGUCCACUCAACUAAAAGAGAACAGAAUGG